This 339-nucleotide ribosomal RNA is filed under the name Euwallacea validus. Its description in RNAcentral is "partial 12S ribosomal RNA". Lineage: Eukaryota; Metazoa; Arthropoda; Insecta; Coleoptera; Curculionidae. The record is from RNAcentral.
UUAAAUUGUUAAGCCUGGAUUAUUAGUAGUUAAGUUCUUGAAAAUUAAUGGAGAUGGCGGUGUUUUAGUCCAUUUAGAGGAAUCUGCCCUAUGAUUGAUAUUCCACGAUUUAAAUUACUUGGGGUUUUAGCUUAUAUAUCGCUGUAGAUGGAAUAUUUCUGCUGAACUAAAAUAUUCAUGGAUUUUAAGGAAAGGAAUUCAAGUCAAGAUGUAGCUUAUACCUAAGAAGAGGUGGAUUACAUUACUUGUAGCUAUGGUUAGGAAAUCGAAAUGUUUUUUAUAAAAUGGAUUUGAUAGUAAUUUUUUAUAAAAAUUUGAAAAAUGAUUUUGGCUCUAAAA